CGCGUGCCUAACACUUGCAAGUCGAGCGAUUUACUUCGGUAAAGAGCGGCGGACGGGUGAGUAACGCGUGGGUAACCUGCCCUGUACACACGGACAACAUACCGAAAGGUAUGCUAAUACGGGAUAAUGUACUUUUGUCGCAUGGCAAGGGUAUCAAAGCUCCGGCGGUACAGGAUGGACCCGCGUCUGAUUAGCUAGUUGGAGAGGUAAUGGCUCACCAAGGCGACGAUCAGUAGCCGACCUGAGAGGGUGAUCGGCCACAUUGGAACUGAGACACGGUCCAAACUCCUACGGGAGGCAGCAGUGGGGAAUAUUGCACAAUGGGCGAAAGCCUGAUGCAGCAACGCCGCGUGAGCGAUGAAGGCCUUCGGGUCGUAAAGCUCUGUCCUCAAGGAAGAUAAUGACGGUACUUGAGGAGGAAGCCCCGGCUAACUACGUGCCAGCAGCCGCGGUAAUACGUAGGGGGCUAGCGUUAUCCGGAAUUACUGGGCGUAAAGGGUGCGUAGGUGGUUUCUUAAGUCAGAGGUGAAAGGCUACGGCUCAACCGUAGUAAGCCUUUGAAACUGA
This 567-nucleotide ribosomal RNA is filed under the name uncultured bacterium. RNAcentral's name for it is "bacterial SSU rRNA". It matches the Rfam family "Bacterial small subunit ribosomal RNA", at positions 41 to 636 of the family's 1533-position model. The record is from RNAcentral.